UUAUUUGAGAGUUUGAUCCUGGCUCAGGAUGAACGCUGGCGGCGUGCCUAACACAUGCAAGUUGAGCGAUUUACUUCGGUAAAGAGCGGCGGACGGGUGAGUAACGCGUGGGUAACCUACCCUGUACACACGGAUAACAUACCGAAAGGUAUGCUAAUACGGGAUAAUAUAUUUGAGAGGCAUCUCUUGAAUAUCAAAGGUGAGCCAGUACAGGAUGGACCCGCGUCUGAUUAGCUAGUUGGUAAGGUAACGGCUUACCAAGGCGACGAUCAGUAGCCGACCUGAGAGGGUGAUCGGCCACAUUGGAACUGAGACACGGUCCAAACUCCUACGGGAGGCAGCAGUGGGGAAUAUUGCACAAU
Molecule: ribosomal RNA, 362 nt
Filed under: Clostridioides difficile
Lineage: Bacteria; Bacillati; Bacillota; Clostridia; Peptostreptococcales; Peptostreptococcaceae
Description: bacterial SSU rRNA
Rfam family: Bacterial small subunit ribosomal RNA
Source: RNAcentral